GGAAAGAUGAAAAGAACUUUGAAAAGAGAGUUAAACAGUACGUGAAAUUGUUGAAAGGGAAACGAUUGAAGUCAGUCAUACCAACGGGAAAUCAACCUUUUGAGUUCGUUCUUGUGGGUUUCGAGGAGUUUAAAAGCCUUCUGAUUUGCUAGGAUUGGGCUCUUUUGGUGUACUUUCUCGUACGGUUAGUCAACAUCGGUUUUGAAUGUCAUAAAAUGACUGGAGGAAUGUGGCUUCGAUCUCGUAUCGAAGUGUUAUAACCUUUGGUAGAUGUGAUGUUCGAGACCGAGGAUUGCAACGGAUACCUUUCGGGCUAUUCGUCUGAUCUCUGAUACGUUGCCUUGAUGUCG
Molecule: ribosomal RNA, 350 nt
Filed under: Funneliformis geosporum
Lineage: Eukaryota; Fungi; Glomeromycota; Glomeromycetes; Glomerales; Glomeraceae
Description: LSU rRNA
Rfam family: Eukaryotic large subunit ribosomal RNA
Source: RNAcentral